GACGAACGCUGGCGGCGUGCUUAACACAUGCAAGUCGAACGGAAAGGCCCGGCGUUUGUGGGGUGCUCGAGAGGCGAACGGGGGAGUAACACGUGAGUAACCUGCACUUGACUUUGGGAUAACUUCAGGAAAAUGGGGCGAAUAUAGGAUAGGAGCUUCUGAAGCAUGGUGGGGGUUGGAAAGUUGCGGCGGUGGGGGAUGGACUCGCGGCUUAUCAGCUGGAUGGUCAGGUAGGUGCAUCCCAACGCUGUGACGGGUAGGCCGCCUGAGAGGGUGACCGGGCACCAUGCGCCUGAGAUACGGCCCAGAAUCCAACGGUACGCAGUAGUCGAGAAUAUUGCGCAAUGGGCGGAAGUCAGAUACAGCAACGCCCCGUGCGUGAUACUGGGCUACUAGUUAUAAACCGCUUUCGCCGUUGCCGUACACUGAGUGACGGUAACGAGUCAGGAAGCACCGGCUAACUACGUG
Molecule: ribosomal RNA, 468 nt
Filed under: uncultured bacterium
Lineage: Bacteria
Description: partial 16S ribosomal RNA
Rfam family: Bacterial small subunit ribosomal RNA
Source: RNAcentral